CUUCGGUCUACACAUCUUCGCAAGCACGUUGCAACACUAUCCCAGAUUCUGAACCUCAAGAACAAUGAGCUGGACCAACUAGCAAACUUUUUGGGCCAUGACAUACGGGUCCACAGAGACUUUUAUCGGCUUCCAGAGGCAACCAUAGAAAUUGCAAAAAUCUCAAAGCUUAUAUUGGCCAUGGAGAAAGGAUCUCUGGCAACAUUCCAAGGAAAAUCUCUUGACGUGAUUGAAAUUGAAGAGGAAUUAGAACCUGACCUGGAAGAAGGUAAAGCUGAAAUUGGUGGUGUAGCAGGUACAGACGAAGAUGUAGACAGUGUAGCAGAUGAAGACGGUGUAGCAGAUGAAGACGAAGACGAAGAUGAAGACGAAGAUGAAGACGAUGUAGAAAACGAAGGGUCAGAUCCUAACCUUGGACUAAGGGGGAAAAGAAAAAAAAAAGAUUUUACCAAGGAUGAAGCAAACAUCUCAAAAGG
This is a long non-coding RNA of Gadus morhua (Atlantic cod), 476 nucleotides long. NCBI's taxonomy places the organism in Eukaryota, Metazoa, Chordata, Actinopteri, Gadiformes, Gadidae. The record is from Ensembl.